AAUUUGUAACGUAGCUUUCUGACGUAGAUUGUUUGCAUUUGUUACGCUAAGAGAAGAAAGUUGUUGACUUAACUGAAGUUUUUCAACUCGAUUAAAUUUCUUCAGUUUAAUUUAUUUAUGUAUUUAAGUUAAAUACUUGUAGGAAUGUAAGUACAAAGAAGCAUAUUGAAUCGAAGAAAAUUAAUCUAUAUUGGUGCAAACGGGCCUUACACAAGAAAAAUUAAACUUAAAUAGAUAAAUAGAUUGAACUGAAGAAAUUUGAUCGAAUUGAAAAAAAAACUUGUCGAGCUAACAACUCUUGUUCUCAUUGUAAUUCCACAAACAAUAGUCUUACGUACCUAUAUUUGCAAGCAUAUGGUCUUUAAAGUUUAAACGAGACCUACAUACGUUUGUCGCGCGUUUACAAGACCUACUUUCGAAAGGUUCCCACAGCGGAGCUUCAUUAUCACGUACGGUCUUCACAUGCGAUUUGCAAGAACUUAGUAUACACAUUGUCCUCGCGUAUAUGCGACGUUCGGACUUGCGGAUUGAAAUCGUUUCACGAUAGCCGCCUUCGCGCUCUCGUAUCACUUGUUACCCGAGACGUGUGUUGGUAAUGAAUGCGGACAAUAUAUGUAAGAUUGUGCAACAUAUAGAAAUUAUCGCCAUAUUCCUUGGGCACAUUCUCUCCGAACACUGGGAAGAAAGUUAUUGUAACUUAAAAACUUCGCAAAUACAACUUAACUUGACUAAAUUCUUGCGGUUCAAGUAUUUAUGUAUUUUUAAAUUUCACACACACAAUAUUUGAAGAAAAUUUAAAGGAUGAUUUUAAAUGAUAAAAAAAGAUUAAAAUUAAGAAUAAUAAAAUUGCAAUUAAAGAUUUGUUUUUCAAUUAUAAAUGUUAAAAUAUUAAAAAAUUGUUUGCUAAAACACGUGAAUAUUUAAACGUUUAUAAUUAAAACGGAGCUUUAAUCGAAUUUUUGUUAUGUCUUUUGUCUUUAUUGUCUAUAACUACUUUUUAAAUUUUCCCUCAUCUGUUGUUGACCAUAUUGUACAUAUACAUACACAUACACACAUACAUAUAUAUAUAUAUAAAAUAUAUAAAAAUACUUGAAUUGAAGGUAGUUUACUUAAUUUAACGGAUUUAGUCAAGUUAACAACUUUUUUCUCAAUGUUGGUAGCAUUUAUUUCAAUAUUUUGCGGUAAGCUGCUUGAGAACGUGACAUUACCUCUAAAUUUAUUAAACACACAGUAAUGCACCAAUACUGCAUGAAAUUUUAAUGAGAAAAAAAAACAUCUGGCGUGUAUCUCGAAGAGCAAAGGUUCGCUACGAUUUGUAGAGCAAAACGCGCGACUCUGAUUGGCAGUUAACUUUUUCCACGGCUAUCUCUAUGCGGAAGAAGAAGCUGAAAAAGAGGGAGGGCCUGUGGUCUUCGAGCCUCCUUAUGUCUUCAUUUCUACUAAUGUAGAUCAACUCUGACCUCGGUUCGUAGCCAAGUCUUUAUCUAUAUCUAGUUUUUCUCCAUUCUCGGGUUGGAGAAAAAUAAGAAAUAAAUGAACCGAGAUCAAAGUUAAUUUCCAUUCCUGAAAAUGGGCAUUAGCAGUUUUCUGAACAGGAGCAAAAAAAAAGGAUCUUAAAGUUGGAAAUGUUACACAUCGCGCUAUCAUUAUUCUAAUAAUCGUUUAAACGGAUGUUUGACGCGUAAAUACAUUUUAAUGCGAUAAAAUUUAAUUAAUUCUGAUAUCGCAAUUAAGAAACGAGAUAAGGUAGAUCUGAAGGUGAUAACACACGAGUAUACUUUCCGACUUUUAGUUCUGUCGAAAUAGAACGUUAGAGCACUGAAAAUCACGUGUGCAGCGAUGCAGCAGCACGUGCCUGCGCUCGCUCUUGGAGUACUUCUAAAUCGGGAAAUUGAUUUUCGAGAUAAUUCAUAUAGUAACGUCAAUCGACGGUAAAUUCUGUGAUUGGAUGAUGCAAGCCGAGACUGAUGAUGCGCAAUCAGUUUUGUUUGGUUAGAAAUCUUCCGUGUUUCCAGAUAAAUCUUUCGUACACACACGUAUGACGCACCUGUCGUGUAUUUCCUUCUCAUUCGCGCGACUUAUCUUACGUCUUUUCGUCUAUAUAUGAUCUAUUUCAUGAUAGCAAAGAUCAAUUAAUGAUUCGCAUCCAAAAAACUUCUUUAUCAAUAACGACUGAAGCAUUCGCCACUUCGAGACGUGUCUUUAUAUCUAACUUGACAAUCUACACCGCUAGAAAAGAUUACUUGAUUCAAAGAAUGUUAUUAAUACAAUUUAAAUAACUUAUCGACAAAUAGAUAUUAUUUGUUCGUAGAAAAUAUUAAGUACUUAUUUGAUAUGAAAGUUUUUUUUUAUUUACUAUACUAAUAAUAUAUUUAUUUGAAUCAAGCAAGAGGAGAAAUUAUUAUAAUUGUUUCAAUUUUUUAAUAUUUUUGUAUGCUCACAUGUCAUCUUUAUGAGAAUUGAACUCUUAAAAAUUGAUUAACUUUUUUUUAUACUCAAAAGAACUUUGACAAUUGUUAUGUUUUUUAUAUCUAGCCAAAUAAGAUGUGUUCUUAAAAAAAGAUUAAAUUAUCUUUGAUAUGUUACAAAAAAUAUUGCUAUUGUUUCGAUUUUAUAUAUAUAUCUCUUGAAAAUCAGUUACAGAUAUAUUUCUAUUUUUAGAUUUCUGUCUUCGCAAAUAUAUUCGAACAGUGUUACAAAUAGCGCAUUACUUUCGUCAAGAGUUCCCACUAAUAUCUCGUGAAUAAGUGAUUUUCCCCGAGAAGCGUCUUCGCGUUUCCCCCUUUCUUAAACUUCCUAUUUUCGAACAAAACAAUUCGAGCUCUGACACGCGAGCUUUAAAAAAAAAGUGGAAAAGUUUUAUCUCUCUGCAAAUUUAUUUAAUUUGAUCAGACAGACGUCAUCGAUAAUAUGACGUUCCGAUAAUUCCGUAUAAUUCCGCAGGUGUCUUUUCCAUUACCGAAUAAUUGACAGUCCAAGGUAUAAUUGAGAAAGAUUGCGCGAUCGAGUAAAUUCCCGUGUCGGUCAUCUCUGUAAUUAGCCCCGGGCGUUAACACUAGACGUCCACAAUUAGCCGAUUGUUAAGUAAUAACUGUGUGUCUAUGGCGUGUCUCGCGCGUCGUGAGAGCGUAGGCCGAUGACUGCGUCUGACGUAAGUACGCAAUCUACGUACGUUCUCUGAAAAAAAAAGAGGGAUGCAAAUAAUGCAGCCUUGUAAAGGACGCGGCGGGACAAACGCAACGUUUGAUCUCGAGCUUUUUUCGCGCUCCUCCCCCCCCCCCCCCCCGAGACCAAUCUGCUUCGGACCCGUCAAUCUUCUUUUUCUUCGUGAACGUUCCGCAUUCUCUUAGGAUAUUUAUUUUUCAUAAGCGUUUUUUUUUACAUCUCACGUUUACAAGAGGUAGACUGACACCUUUAUAAAUAGCGCUUUUAAUAAGACUUUCUUUUUGAACAAAAAAGCGGUUUAGUCCGAUGAUAUUUUAGAUUUUAUUUUAAAUUGUAUUUCAAUUUCUCAAUUUUUAAUUGCACACUGUUGUAAAGAUACAACAGAUUGCUAGUUUGGAUAUCCUUCUAAAUGUCAGUUUUUUUUUCUUCUUUCAUAUCAUUCAUCACAGAUUUUUUUUUAGGAGGAUAAAAAGUGCAGCGGAAUUUUUAGAGAAAAAAAAAUCUAUGAUACUUUUUAGGAACUGAGACUUAUAACAUAAUAAAUUUUGUCACGUGUAUUGUUAAUAUUUAUAUAGUCUGAUAACAUUAUGUAAAUACUAUAUGCAUAAUUUGAUGCGAGAACACUAUUACAUUAUUUUUAUCACGCAACUUGAUUAUCCUAAUACCUUAAUUUAUGUUUGUUUUUACCAAUGUAGAUUGACUUUAAAUUACUUCGUGUCUUUUUCUAAUUUUUAAAAUGAGGAAAAGAUAAAAGGUAAAUUAGAUCAAGAUAAAAAUUAACCUACGUUGGUAGACAUGGACAUCGCUAGAUUAAAUUUCUUGUCGAGAAUUCAUCACGUUAACCGUAUAUUAUAUUGCACUUAUAUUACAUUAUCAUCUCUUUUUCAGCAAUAUUGUAUUUCAUAGGCGUCUCUUUCCGUGCCGUAUUUAUGAAGGAUAGAACGGCACGUUUAUAAAUAGCACUUUUAAUAAGAUGUUCCUUUUUCUUUUGUAAAAAAAAACGGAUCCAGUCUGGACCGACGAUAUUUCAGGCGAUAUCCUUGAUGGAUCAGACUGUUCUCCAUUAUAUACAUAUAUAAAUUAUAUUUGUUACAUAUAUAUAACUUGAAAGAACACAAUUAUAUGACUCUCAUUACGUAACGACUGUCGAAAUGCAAUAAUUGAGUAGCAGAUUAAAUUUUUUGCCGAGACACUUUGUUAUGUUAAUUAUUAUAUCGCAAAUAAUUAUAAAAAAUUGUUUUCUUAAACAGUAUUAUAUUUUAUAUAUAGACGUCUCUUUUCAUAAUCAAUAUAUUUAUAAAAAAUAGAAAAACAUCUUUAUAAAUAGCGCUUUUAAUUUUAUUUUACGGACCUAAUGCUGAAUCAAUGAUAUUUCAGAUCCGCAAUAGACCAGGUUGCGUAAUUGCAAUAAUUCUGAAUUAUAUUCCAUUACAAAGAUAAGUAUAAUUUGGCGCAGGAACGUAGUUGUAUAAUUUUUACUGCGUUAAUGGCUAUCCCAGUGCAUUAAUUCAGUAGCAGGUUGAAUUUUUUUGUCGAGAGAAAUUUUCAUCAUGUUAAUCGUUAUAUCGCAAAUUACUAUCUUUUUAUCAAUGCGUGCACUUUUCGCGCGCGAGGCGUCGAUAAUUUCUUGUUUGCACAAGCAUAAUGGAUGCUAAUGGACUUCUUUUCGCACGCUGGAAUUGCAUAUGUGUGCAUUCUCGGGGCUGGCAACGCGACUCCAAUAAAAAAGAUAUAAUUACAGACUCCAGGCGCCUCGGGCGACCGCAGAGAAACCCGUUCGCAGCACAAAGGCAUGGGGGAACGUCUUGUCGGAGAUGUUCUUUAUUAAGCGAUCCAGUCUCGAAGAUACAGUUUCGAAAUUGAUAAAUUGUCCCUAAUAAUUACUUUCGCGAAAUUAUUAAAGAUGGUUCUUUUUAACCGUUGUUAACACAAAUCAGCCUGUUAAAAAGAGAUUAUACGUGCACUGAGAGAAAAAUGUUAAUUUGACUAAAUUUUUUAACUUGAUUAAAUUUUUUCAGUUCAAGUAUUUAUGCAUUUAACUUAAAUACUUGAACUUCAAUUUAACUUUUUUUUCUCAGUCUACUCUUCAGAAUUGAAUAGUAAUCAGUUAUAAAAAAUUGGAAAUUAUACACAAUAAAAAAUUUACAUAAUAUACAUAAUAUUUUUUAAGAUUAACUUUGAAUUCAGUUUUAACACAACUGAGUUUAUUCUUCGUUCAACUUUUCAAAAUUUUUAACGUAACUAAUUUAAUUUUAUGAGCCAUUAACUUGAACUAAAUUUAAAAGAAAUUAGCUUACUUAGUCCUGCUAUUUCUGAUCGUAUUAUAUUUAUAUUUUUAAUCUUUCUUUUAAAUAUUUAUAUUUUGCGACAUGAAUUGCAUCAUGAAUUUCAUAUUAUCGUAUUGUGAAGAUCGUUUCUGCGGAUAUCGUGUAUACGUAUGAGUCACCGUGUUUAAAACAAAACCGUGUCAGAAUUGUUCCUUGCAUUUCUCAUGUCUACUACAGAUCUAAUUAAUUAUCUGAUAUUAUCGGAAUUAGUAAUAACUGAUAAUCGGUGACACACACGGGCGCUACCGUCAAGGAUUUCUUUUUAUAGAAAUAUCGUGCUAAGCGACGACGUGCAAACGAGUUUAGGGAGGUCUUCGCGGGCAGAGAGGACACAAACGUUCCACUCGCCAAUCGGAUGGACGUGUGGUUGGCGAUUCGCCAAACUGGACACCUUUCGCACAUCUUCAAAAGAUGUUCCGCAAGCCGAAGCUUGACCAAACGAUUUUUUCUCGUUUUCGCGAUGCCCCGUUAUGCCGCACAGCCGGCGCUUCCAUUAGGAACUAAAGAGUACUUGUUAAUUUUAUUUCUUUUUACGCGAACUACUCAUUUACUUUGAUAAUCUAUUAUUUACUUUAUUCUUACUCAUCUAAAAUUAAUAAUUUAUUAAAUCUACGUAGCCCAAUUUGUGUAUCUUGAGCGAUGAAUUUUUAAUGAUUAGCAACAUUUGCUUUUUCUUUGUAUUUGUAAAUACUUCUUUGGUUAAUUACGUUAACUCUGAAAUGUUGCUUGGAUGAAUUUCCACCCAAGUGCUAUUUAAAUUCAAUGCAGUUUUUGUUAUUAAAUUUUUUUGACAGUUUAAAUUAUUAGGAUUUUUACAAAAUCUGUGCUAAUUCAAAUUUACUCUUGAAGUUAAAGUUUUAAUUUAUUCUACCUUGCAGCUUAUAAAAAAUGUAGUAAGAUAUUUGAAUUAUGCAGGUGAAGUUUCACCCAGAUGAAUAGUGUUAAUGUGAGAACAAAGAUAUGAAUAGCACACUCAUUAAAAUUGAUUUAACAGCCAUAUACCGAGACAAAAAAACGAAAUCGUGCAAAUCGUUGCGACAGGUCUAUUUGGGGCCAAGUUACGGUCCUUGAGAUUAUAACGUUGUUUAACGGUGACGAUCAAACGAAGGGACCGGAUGCGUGCAAUAGAGAUUCGCGCGUAUCGCAUUGUGUCAUUAAUAAAAUCGCCGAGUACUGAUUUUGCACGUAUGCCGCCCCGCGAUCCGAGCGGCGUGUGUCGUGCGUGCCUUCUCGCACGUUUCCCCGGUGUCGCUUGAUAAUAGGACACUCGGUUCGCUGCACUUACACGCGAAUGCUCGUACACGCAUAGGUGCGUCCGGCACGUCAAAUUACGGUCGCGUAUCCGGACCUGAUCCCCCUUUCCCCUUCCCGGAUUCUCCCUUUCGCAGAUCCUCUGUCACGUGAGAGCGGAUGGUAUUUUAAAUGGGAGAGAGAGAGAGCUUCCUCCUUCAUCAAGGAGGUAAAAAAAAGGAAAAUAAGAGAAAUAGAAAGAAGCUGAGAAAUGACUAGAAAAGCCAAAAAUCAAAUUAUAUAUAUUUAUUUUAUAUAAAAAAGGACUAUGGGAUUACAAUUAAAACUCGAAAUAGACAAGUGAGAGUACUUCGUGCGCAAUUAUUUGCAUGAGGAAGAUUGCCAGUAUUAACAAUUGCUUGGAAACUAAAUAUUGGAUUAUAUUAAUACUGAUGCAAACUGAUAAAAUGAUCUCCUUAGAUAAUUAGAGAAAUAAAAAGCAGUGCUAUAUAAAAUCUACUAAAAAUCGAAUCUCAUCUAAUACAAACUUGGUGUACACAGUCGUGCUACAUAUUGUGUUUUGCGGAACUGCAUAAGGUAUUUGUAUAAUCCACAAAAAAUGUUACAUUGAAACAAAAGACUUGUAGAAAUCUUCAGAUAUAUUAACUUGUAAAUGUUUGGUACAAAUGACUCGCGUUGAGGGUAAAGAAAAGGAAAAUGUAGCUUUUUAUAUCAAAUUUUUCAAAUGUUUUGAUUAUGCUGCAAAAACAUUAUCAUAGAAUAUGAAACAGUGUUAUCAAAACUGCUGUCAUCUGAUAGAAGACAUCUUUUGGUUUUACAUUAUGUUUUCAGAGCUUUAUUUUGAGCUUUUCUUUCAGAAAUAUUAUUCAAAGAUAAAGUAGUAAAAUUCUCCUAAAUAAAGCGAAGAUCAUUUAUUGCAAUGUAAGAAUUUUGAAAAAGUGCAGCAUUAUGUAUAUUUACAUAAAUAAAAAAAAAUAAAUAUACGUAUGUGCGGCUAAAUCAUUGAGAUUUCCUAUAACUGUAUUGCAGGGAGAGAGAAAGAGAGAAACAGAACGGGAAGAAAUGAAAUAAAAUUGUCUUCCUGAAAGAUUGCAAGAUAUACUGAAUACACACACAUCAUUGCAUAAAUUUGCACAAUCUGCAAACAAAUCUCAAUCACCAAUCACAUCUCUAUAUCGUUAAGAGAUCUGUCUCGAAACGCUCAUUCGUAUUGUUCGCUUAUCAUGCAUGACCGACGCAGAAAUGAAGUCUAAGUGACAAAGGUCUCCGGGACUUGCUGGGGUGAACGUGACCGCAGAAUGCGCUCGGUGGGCAAAAAUUUUCGCCUCGCGUCGCCCCUCUGUUCUCUAUUCGCGUGUCGAAAUUUUAACUCUAUAAACGCGAGGAGAGACGGCCGCAAGAUAUUCACAUGGACAAGCGCGAUUUGUCCGAUGGUCUCUGGCUGACCUCGUGGCAGAUUAAACGCGACGGCUUCAAGGGGAUCGGCGAUCAAUACGAUCACGCGCGUAUUGUCACAGAUGUUUCUUAUCGUAUCAAUCGAGAGAGAAGCUUCGCGCUACGCGCGCUUAUUGCCAGGAUAAGUUGCUCUCGCACUCGGCGCGGGCCCCGCAGCGAAGAGAAGCCUACCCCUCGUGAUUUUACUGGCGAACAACGAAAUUAGUUCAAGGAUGAAGCGCGCCUGCAUUCGCGACGAUUUCUCUUAUCUGGUUUAAUGGAAAAGAAGUAAUUUGCCUUCGCGCGUUUAUUGCCGCGCGCAAUAUUGACGCUAUUGCGCAAAUCACACGCCGGCGAUGAUUAUACAAAUUUUAUUUAUUACUUUAUGCUACGGACACGUAGCAUUAUCGAGGCUCCCUACGAGGGCCACCCGAUAUUUUGCAAAUGCUCCCCGUUGAUCUCCGUUGAAAUAAAAGUAAAAACUUUUGUGCCGCCGCGCAGAAAAAAAACUGACCCAAAA
RNAcentral lists this long non-coding RNA (8697 nucleotides) under Monomorium pharaonis (pharaoh ant). RNAcentral describes it as "uncharacterized LOC118646504". The record is from RNAcentral. Lineage: Eukaryota; Metazoa; Arthropoda; Insecta; Hymenoptera; Formicidae.